This 231-nucleotide ribosomal RNA is filed under the name uncultured bacterium. RNAcentral's name for it is "partial 16S ribosomal RNA". It matches the Rfam family "Bacterial small subunit ribosomal RNA", at positions 103 to 334 of the family's 1533-position model. The record is from RNAcentral.
CGGGUGAGUAACGCGUGGGUAACCUGCCUCGUACAGGGGGAUAACAGUUAGAAAUGACUGCUAAUACCGCAUGAGCGCACGGUGCUGCAUGGCACAGUGUGAAAAACUCCGGUGGUAUGAGAUGGACCCGCGUCUGAUUAGCUAGUUGGUGGGGUAACGGCCUACCAAGGCGACGAUCAGUAGCCGGCCUGAGAGGGUGAACGGCCACAUUGGGACUGAGACACGGCCCAA